RNAcentral lists this ribosomal RNA (566 nucleotides) under Hesperomyces harmoniae. RNAcentral describes it as "SSU rRNA". It matches the Rfam family "Eukaryotic small subunit ribosomal RNA", at positions 345 to 915 of the family's 1831-position model. Lineage: Eukaryota; Fungi; Ascomycota; Laboulbeniomycetes; Laboulbeniales; Laboulbeniaceae. The record is from RNAcentral.
CAUGCUUUUGACGGGUAACGGGGAAUUAGGGUUCGACUCCGGAGAGGGAGCCUGAGAAACGGCUACCACAUCCAAGGAAGGCAGCAGGCGCGCAAAUUACCCAAUCCCGAUACGGGGAGGUAGUGACAAGAAAUACCGAUUCAGGAUCUUAUUGGAUCUUGAGAUUGGAAUGAGUACAAUUCAAACCCAUUAACGAGGAACAACUAGAGGGCAAGUCUGGUGCCAGCAGCCGCGGUAAUUCCAGCUCUAGUAGCGUAUAUUAAAAUUGUUGCAGUUAAAACGCUCGUAGUUGAACUUUGGGCUUGGCUGGCUGGUCCGCCUCACCGCGAGCACUGGUCCGGCUGGGCCUUUCCUCUUGGGGAUCCACAUGCCCUUCACUUGGGUGUGUUGGGGAACCAGGACUUUUACUUUGAAAAAAUUAGGGUGUUCAAAGCAGGCAUUUGCUCGAAUACAUUAGCAUGGGAUAAUAGAAUAGGACGUGUGGUCUUAUUUUGUUGGUUUCUAGGACCGCCGUAAUGAUUGAUAGGGAUAGUUGGGGGCAUCGGUAUUCAAUUGUCAGAGGUGAA